This 255-nucleotide ribosomal RNA is filed under the name uncultured bacterium. RNAcentral describes it as "partial 16S ribosomal RNA". It matches the Rfam family "Bacterial small subunit ribosomal RNA", at positions 524 to 776 of the family's 1533-position model. The record is from RNAcentral.
UACAGAGGUCCCCGAGCGUUUGUUCGGAUUCAUUGGGCGUAAAGGGUGCGUAGGCGGUCUGCUAAGUUUGAUGUGAAAUCCCGGGGCUCAACCCUGGAAUGGCAUUGAAUACUGGCGGACUAGAGUACCGGAGAGGAAACUGGAAUUUACGGUGUAGCAGUGAAAUGCGUAGAGAUCGUAAGGAAGACCAGUGGCGAAGGCGAGUUUCUGGACGGUAACUGACGCUGAGGCACGAAGGCCAGGGGAGCAAACGGG